Molecule: long non-coding RNA, 4076 nt
Organism: Chinchilla lanigera (long-tailed chinchilla)
Lineage: Eukaryota; Metazoa; Chordata; Mammalia; Rodentia; Chinchillidae
Exons: 2
Source: RefSeq, a predicted model, not a curated record
CGGAACUCUGGUGGGAGGGAGGUCCGGUGGUCUGGGGGAGGGGUGGCUGAGGUGGACCGACUGUAGCUGGGAGUCUCCUUCUCCAGCGGGAUGUCGGAAUAGGACGAUUUAACUAUUUGGACGCGAACUGGGGUGGUCGGAUACGAACGGAGGGCGGCCCGCCCUGCGGCAACCGGAGGGGGAGGGAGAAGGGAGGGGAAAAGGCUCGAAGCCGGACAGAGCCAUUGCUCUUGUGGAGGGAGGGUCGCUUCCGGCCUCAUCUCUUGUCGCUGAUUGGCCAUUUCUCCUCCCGCCGUAUGUGAAAACACAAAUGGCGUAUUUUGGUUGGAGUAAAGCGCCUGUCAGUUACAGCCUUGGAAGUGCGCAGCCGCCUGGCUACUCGCGCGGCCCCCUGGGUGGGGCGGGAGGGUAGGUGGGGUGAGGCCAGGCUGUGCGGGCGCGGUCGGCCUCCGCGGGGGAGGGGAGGUCAGUGAAAGUGGCUCCCGCGCGGACGUCCUCCCACCCUCCCCUGCCUGCAGGGGAGUUGGUUUGCCCGCCGUCUGUUAGGCUCCGGCGUCUGAUUGGCUGCUGUGUCCCGGGGAAUGGACUCUUGCUAUUGGCUCUGAUUCCAAGUGAGCGAAACCACUUGGCGGGCCGUCAGGGGUGGCGGAGAGGCGGGCGUUGGUUCGGCCCUCCCCGAGGUCCUGCGCCGCAGUGUCUGGCCCCGCGCCCCGGCGCAACGUGGCAGGAAGCGCGCGCCGGAGGCGGGGACGGGCUGCCGGCCUAGGCUUCUGGGUGUUGGCUGCCUCGGCUCCGCCCCAGUUGCCUACCUCUGGAAGGGCGAGAGGAUCCGGACCCGCUCCAGGCAGCCAGGGGGGUGGGGGAGACGCAGUGGUCUGUUGGGCUGGUUUGGGGGCGGAAGGCGUGCGUUCUCCAAAAAUGCGCGCGAGCUGCAGUCCUGAGCCCUGCAGUGUAGGGGGCGGAGAGAGGGCCGCACCCUUCUCGGUAGAGGGAGGGCAGUACCGCAAUACCUUUCUGGGAGUUCUUUGCUGCCUUUAGUCCUUUAAGGACCGCCCUGGGCCUAGAAGAAUCCCUCCCCUCCCCCUCUGUGAUCUCAUCGUCGCCUCCAUGUCGAUUCGCUUCGCGAUUAUGGGAUUCUUUGGCCAGGCUUAAGGGCAAACCUGCUGCCUGGGCGUUGUCCUGUAGGAAUGAAGCAGGUGUAAGAUUUGAGGGGUAGAAUUGAAUUUGUGUCAGGAGGUAAUUAUAGGGGUGGAAGAGGGUAGUGGGGGCUAGGCAUUCACAAAGCAUUCACCUGGGAUUAGCUUUACACAGAUAGUGUGAAUUGUUACUACUUGACUUGCUUUUUGGAGCAUUUCUCCUGGAGAUUGAUUAAAGGUGUGACUGAUUUUUAUACUCACCCCACCAAAAUACAAUAUAGCACCUCAUAUGGCCGUAAAUUUUUUUGCUCGCUCUGCAUCCUUCCCACGAGUAUUUCAGCUACUCGUACUUUGGUCCCACUUUACAUGUGUUACUUGCUUAUCCAGUCUCCAGACCUGCCACUGGCUUUGUCCCUCCUGAUCUUGAGUAUGCCUGGUGAGUCAUGAAACCAGACAGAUUGGUUCCACCAGAAAUUUACCUAGAAGUGCUUUUAUUCCUCCUUAAUGUACUUUCUGGGAUAUUUACCUUGAUGUUGAUUUUAUCUUUUUUUUCCUCAGCUGGGAUUCUUCCCUUGGGCCUGCCUAUUCACAAUCCACAUAACUUUGAUUACUGAUCUCUAGCACCCUUUUGCCUUUAAACAUUUCUCAUUGCAUCCCUUUAUUUCUGUUCUCAUCAGUUAGUAAUUGAGCUCAGUAGAUUGUAUAACAGCUUCCCAACUUGUCUCUGCUCUAUUAUUUUCUGAUACAUCCUACAUAUUACCAGGAUGACAGAUGAAACUCCCUUACUGGUUAUUUACUAGUAGGAUGAAAUCCAUCCUCAGUGUGAUAGCCAAUGACCCUCACUGUUUUAGCCUCAACUUUUAAGCAGUUUUUUUCCUUUGUUACUAUAGGGACAGGAGCCCCAUAGGCAGAAUAGAGAAGUGGGUGGUGGAGAGCUUCUGAGAGGGGCAAAAACACAAGGAAGUGAAACCUUAAACCGGAGAUAGGACCAUGUGUCCUAGGAUGAGGGCAGUGACAUGAGUAGAAGGGACCAAACCAACCACGACCCCUGCUGCACUUGUUAAAAUGUAUGGAAAAUCCAUUUAAAAGUGGGUAAGGGCUACAUGACUGGAGAUGGGGGACCCAAUCAUAACCCAAAUCUGCCUGCAUGACUUUUAACAACUCUGAAGGGGAAGAGAAAUCCCCUAGGGAUUUAAAAGGAAGUCUGCUCACCCCUAGCAAUGGACUCCCAGCGCUAGGGUCCCUCCUCCUAGUGAGGAGUUCGUUCUCCUUCUGCAAUAAACUUUUGCUUUGCAACACUAAGGACUUCAAUCUCUAUUUCUGUACUGAAUUGAAAGUCCAGACCCGGGAAAGGAGACUAGGGGUGCUGAGUGGUUGUGACAAUUUGGGGCUCCUGUAGGGUACUUGAAGACCACCAACAUGGUCAGUAUCAUUUGGCCUAAACAGGCAUCCCACCAGGGAGGAGUGACUGUAUCUAGCACCUUCAUCUUGUGUGAUCAUUUGGGGAUAACCCUAGCCAUGACUAACGUGGCUGAAAUCUCCUGGCCAAGACCCCAGGAGGUAGGCAGGCAGGCCCCUUGUCCUACCCUCAUACAGCUAACAUGUAGUCCUCAAGAACCCUGCGAGCCUAGGAAUUCAGCCAAGCUGUCUUGCUCCUGGUGACCUACCCAGGGAAUUAUACAGAUCUGCCACAUGCCAAGAAGCCCUUCUGGGAGACCAUGGGGAGUGGUAGGCACCUCCCUCCCUGGACCCCCUGGAGGGAUUUCUUCCAGAGGUUACCCCCAGCUCAGGACAUCCUUCAGUGGAUUUCCCUAUCGAAAGGUAUAUAUGCCUUUUCUGUCACUCAGACUGGCUCUCUGGGAUGCCUGGAGAAGGAUCCCCAGAGCAUGAGGAAUAUUUUGCCUUUGUUGUUCAUCUGGCUUAUCGCAGCCAGACCUGUGUAGCCUAUUAUACCUCCUCAGUCAUAUUUUCAGAGCUCCUCAAAUGGAAUGAGGUGUGGGGACUCAGAUUGAUGGCACGUCUGUAGGCUGGAAUGGGAAUGAAUAAACGACUGAGCCUCGUACUUGCUGAGGUAUAGCCAGGAGUGUAUCUUCCUCAAGCCAUCUUUUCCCUCUCUAUUAGGAUAUAAGGGCAGACACUCGAUGGAGACAGUUCCUGCCCUGCAAACUGAGGCUCUUCGUGCCCUGUUGGGUCAGUCUGUUGAGCUCCAGUGGGCAAUCAGCACCUUUGAGGAGUGAAGGCACCAAAGAUAUUUCAGAUACCAAAGGAAAUAGAAGGACCAGGCUCUUGCCCAUGGCCAUAGCAUGGAAGAUUCCCACUAGGGAGACCUGACCCUUUCAGGGUCAUCCUUGGGCCAGCUUUAGGAACCAUCCUGACUGGAUUAAAGAGUACCAAAUUGAUGGCACCCUUAUGGCCAGCCUAUGUGGCCUGCCUCCUUCAUAGGAGAAGAUAAUGAAGAGCCUCCAAUAAAAUUAGGAACUCCUGCUGCUGUCCAGCUCCCAACUGGGUAAAACACCCCCUGGCAGGUUAUGACCUACCCUAAGCCUACUGUGCUGCUUGCAAGGAAAAUAUGCUUCCCCUCAGCCCAGUUCAGUGGAGAAGGGUCUUGAUGAUCCUUCUCAAUCUAGAGCUCAAAGGGGAAUUGGGCAGUUACACAGAUGACCCUGACACCCAUGUAGUUUUGAGCAUCUCUGUGCAGUAGUGUAUAUAAUAGGGCAUGGAAAGAUGAGUGCUGCUUUGGGAUGAAACUUUAAAUCAGUGAGAAAAGUAGGGUAUAAGAGCAAGCAGUCCAAGUGGGAAACAGUUACUACAUCCUAAAUCAUAAUGAUUUUGGUAAUACCUCAGUAGGCCAUGAAACUGAAGAAAAGGGCUAGGUGUGGUGGUGCAGGCUUAUAAUCCCAGCACUCAGAGGCUGAGGCGGGAGAAUCAUUGUGAGUUCAA